UCCCUGGUGGCUCAGAUGGUAAAGCAUCUGCCUGAAAUGUGGAAGAUCCAGGUUUGAUCCCUGGGUGGGGAA
This 72-nucleotide transfer RNA is filed under the name Bos taurus (domestic cattle). It matches the Rfam family "tRNA". From Rfam's summary of the family: Transfer RNA (tRNA) molecules are approximately 80 nucleotides in length. Their secondary structure includes four short double-helical elements and three loops (D, anti-codon, and T loops). RNAcentral also lists the same sequence under 4 other names. Lineage: Eukaryota; Metazoa; Chordata; Mammalia; Artiodactyla; Bovidae. The record is from Rfam by way of RNAcentral.